UGUAUCCUGAAUAAACCUCUUCCCCCAAGAGCAACCACAGAGAUCUCGCCUGAAUCUGUCCGUGGAAUACAAAUACACGUCGUUACAGACUGGCGCCCAUCGUCGAAUACGAACCCACGGUGACCUGCAACUGCACCCGUCUGGAUGCUUUCCAGCUUUUCUACCUGUAGGACACCUUUCCAUGGACACUAACUAUAUAACCAGGUAUUUCCUCGCCAUCGUGGUCGCGAGCACGGCAUUCUGCUGCUAGGCAGUAACGAACCGGAGCUCUUUAAAAAGUCCCGAAGCCGUCGUACAGCUCAGCGACUCGUUACAUAGUAGCGAGCUAUUAGAGCCCUUAUACGACUUCUGGCCAUUAUUCUCCGAGCACAAGAGAUCGCCGCGAUUCCGCGGCGACCCAAGGCUUUGUGACGAGACUUGCCGCGCCACGUGGCCACGUACACAAAGCACAGGCGAGCACUGCUUAGCACUGCCCGCGCUGAAGCUCUGGAGAAACCCCGCGGUGACCUCAGCACCGACUGCAGUAAACGUCGGAACCUGACAGAGGAUCCCGCUCCUGCGACACCGAGGUUUUUCUUGUGUUUCCACAGGUGGACGACUCAAGUUGGUCCCAAGAAAGAAUGUAAAGCCUUACCACGCACCGAAAUCUGCUGACACCCCCACACCAGACAGUUCCUCUACAAGCACAAGCCAAGAAGCCAGCACCCAGACCUGAACCACGCUGCGUCA
Non-coding RNA from Taeniopygia guttata (zebra finch), 729 nucleotides. NCBI's taxonomy places the organism in Eukaryota, Metazoa, Chordata, Aves, Passeriformes, Estrildidae. The record is from RefSeq and is a predicted model, not a curated record.